UGGGGAAUUUUGCACAAUGGGGGAAACCCUGAUGCAGCGACGCCGCGUGAUUUAGAAGGCCUUCGGGUUGUAAAAAUCUUUUCUAUGGGAAGAAAAUGACAGUACCAUAGGAAUAAGGACCGGCUAAUUACGUGCCAGCAGCCGCGGUAAUACGUAAGGUCCGAGCGUUGUCCGGAAUCAUUGGGCGUAAAGGGUACGUAGGCGGGUAAGCAAGUUAGAAGUGAAAUCCUAUAGCUCAACUAUAGUAAGCUUUUAAAACUGCUCAUCUUGAGGUAUGGAAGGGAAAGUGGAAUUCCUAGUGUAGCGGUGAAAUGCGCAGAUAUUAGGAGGAAUACCGGUGGCGAAGGCGACUUACUGGCCAUAACCUGACGCUGAGGUACGAAAGCGUGGGUAGCAAACAGG
RNAcentral lists this ribosomal RNA (402 nucleotides) under bacterium. RNAcentral describes it as "partial 16S ribosomal RNA". It matches the Rfam family "Bacterial small subunit ribosomal RNA", at positions 355 to 776 of the family's 1533-position model. The record is from RNAcentral.